UACGUAGGGUGCAAGCGUUGUUCGGAAUCAUUGGGCGUAAAGCGCGUGUAGGUGGCUAGACAAGUCGGGUGUGAAAGCCCAGAGCUCAACUCUGGAAGUGCAUUCGAAACUAGCUGGCUAGAAGAUGGUAGAGGAAGGUGGAAUUCCAAGUGUAGAGGUGAAAUUCGUAGAUAUUUGGAGGAAUACCGGCGGCGAAGGCGGCCUUCUGGGCCAUUCUUGACACUGAGACGCGAAAGCGUGGGUAGCAAAC
Molecule: ribosomal RNA, 250 nt
Filed under: uncultured bacterium
Lineage: Bacteria
Description: partial 16S ribosomal RNA
Rfam family: Bacterial small subunit ribosomal RNA
Source: RNAcentral